RNAcentral lists this long non-coding RNA (2015 nucleotides) under Mus musculus (house mouse). RNAcentral's name for it is "long non-coding RNA chr13:63244235-63246250". Lineage: Eukaryota; Metazoa; Chordata; Mammalia; Rodentia; Muridae. The record is from RNAcentral.
GAGAGAGAGAGAGAGAGAGAGAAAGGGAGAGAGAGAAAGCGAGCGAGCGCGAGCGCACCCAGAAUGUUAAAGGUAGGUGAUUUAGGCUUGAAAUAGUUUGUCACAGUGUUUGUCUUUUGUGACAUAAGUCUUUUAUAUUCUGUUGUAAUUCUGGAAACCAGUAUUUAAGAUUUUUGUUUUGUUUUAAAGUUACUUAACUCUUUACUGGACUCACAGCAGCCAGUGGCGGCUGAUAGACUUCAAUCACUUGUAGCCCUGGAUGCACAAGCCAGUAGUAAAAGCAACCCUUGAGAGCUGGGAGCAUGCAGCCAAGUGCCCACAGUUACUGGUAGCCACUCCCUGCACCCAGCAACCUGGUGGGUAUGGGUGGCUGCCCUUAUACCUGAGGCAAGGCUCCCCUGGAGUUUCCUAGGCAUGGUGCCCUUGCCUCUUUUAAGAGUACUGUUGCUUUGUGAGAAUCCAUAACUAGUCCACACUUGCCGAGCUAUGGUCUCAUACAAUAGCUUCAUUGAUUCUUGAUUUCCAUAGAAAAGCUUUAUGGGUUCUAAUGAAUUACCAGCCGCCCUUCACCUCCUCAGAGAGUGUCUUUGUGUCCUGGGCCUUGCCUUUGGAAAAGGACUUAUGUGAGUGAUGGGUGCAGAGUAAUUAAUGAAAGUUGUUAUGAAGCAACCAAGCCGGGGAGGGUUGUGUGUGUGUGUGUCUGUGUGUCUGUAUGCAGUUUACUGUAUUGCUUAGAUGCUUAAGUAAUCCUGUGUACCUGGGCCUUGUUUCUAUACCUCUUCCUACCCUUGUAUUUAUAAUAAAUCUUUAACAAAUACAAUAUUGAACAUUCUAUAUCCAAAUCUCAUGUCAGAUCAAAUCAUGCAAGAUCUUGACAUUUUUGCUCUCUUUAAGCUGGACCAAGAGAAAAUUGCUAUAUUUUGUAGCCUCAGGAAGACAGUCUGGUUUGUGUAAUGUUAUACCAUUAAAUUUUCAUCUGUUCCCUAGACUGAUUCUUUUUAAGAGUCUACAACUUAAAACCAGAAGAGAUUCUGACAUCUCUGUGUGUUCUGAAAUCCCUGCCAGCUUUAAACUGGUCUAACAGGAAAAAUUAAGACCAUGACCGGCUGCCCUCAGCACUUACUCCUAACAACAGUCACCCGCUCGUCCCCACGCACCUCCUCACAGCCUCUCUGAGUGGAACCAUUAAUGCACCCAUAGCUGACACUUGCCGAGUGUCAAGCCCAGUUCUGAGUGAUUUAUGUGCAGCAGCUGACGUGAAUGUCCCACUGAAGCCCGCCACAACCCACACAAAGACAGUGCAGACUGCAUCGGACACUCUGUGUACGUUGGUGCAAUAUUAGCUAGUCAAGUAACUGCUACAAAAAUAAUGCUUUGGGCAGUAUCCUAAAAUUCUUAGUCCUCAACCACCAGCACAAAGCGCACAUUUCUAAAUUGAGACAAUCUCAACCAGCAUGUAUUUUGAAAACACUUGAAAGUAUGCUGAUAAUUACACUUGUGUUGAUUUCAGUGUGUUUGAUGCCAGCCACCACCAAUUCUUUCCUGCAUCGAAAGAUGAAAGCUAUUUUCAUAUAAAACAUAAGAGUGGAAAAGGGAGGUGGGAGAAGAACAUUCUUGUGGCUUUUUAGUUACUUUUAUAGGCAGCGUUAAUUUCAUUCCUGUGACAGAAUGCUUUCCUUGGCACUCACUCUCAUCUUAGGCAUUUUAAUGAGCUGCUGUUUUGUGCCUGUGCUCAUAUGGCACUAAUAAGAUGUGUUAUUUUUAGUAGCACCUACUGGUGUCACCUUGGGUUAGGACCUGUCAUUGUUUCCAUUAAUUAUGUGUUACAGCAGGCGGACACUUGAGUGUAUUCAGCCUAGACGUCAGCCAAUGUGUAUCUGAUAUAUAUUCAACCUUGAGAGCCCCGCACUUGGAGAAGACCACAUGUGGCCUCACAAGUAUUUGUGGCAUUGAUUAGAUGAUGAAGCUCACAGUGGUAUUUACGUUUGCAAUCCUCCAUGAUGCUGCAAUUAACC